RNAcentral lists this ribosomal RNA (279 nucleotides) under uncultured bacterium. Its description in RNAcentral is "partial 16S ribosomal RNA". It matches the Rfam family "Bacterial small subunit ribosomal RNA", at positions 506 to 784 of the family's 1533-position model. The record is from RNAcentral.
UGCCAGCAGCCGCGGUAAUACGAAGGGUGCUAGCGUUGUUCGGAAUUAUUGGGCGUAAAGGGCGCGUAGGCGGAAUAGUAAGUCAGGUGUGAAAUCUCGGGGCUCAACCCCGAAACUGCGCCUGAAACUGCAAUUCUAGAAUCUUGGAGAGGGAAGUGGAAUUUCUCAUGUAGGGGUAAAAUCCGUAGAGAUGAGAAGGAACACCAGAGGCGAAGGCGACUUCCUGGCCAAGUAUUGACGCUGAGGCGCGAAAGCGUGGGUAGCAAACAGGAUUAGAUA